Molecule: long non-coding RNA, 717 nt
Organism: Rosa rugosa (rugosa rose)
Lineage: Eukaryota; Viridiplantae; Streptophyta; Magnoliopsida; Rosales; Rosaceae
Exons: 2
Source: RefSeq, a predicted model, not a curated record
ACUACACUUAUUAUCUGCAUCUAAACUCUCUCUCUCUCUCUCAAGUUCGAUCUUUGAAGCAAAGCUCUCUCCAUUUUCUGAAACACUUUCUAUGUUAGUUUUACAACACGUUAUCAGCACGACUAGCUCUAGGAUUCGGAUUGCCGAUCGACAAGAGAAGAGGUGAAUAACUCUUGGGUUGCAGAAAAGAAGAGGUUCAUCAUUCAAUCAACAUCAAUCUACCAGCUCUACAACCAAAGGCUGAGUCAGAAGCUCAAAUCAAGCCCAAAGUCAUAAUAACAAAUUCGAGCCAGAAGCUCAGGCCCAAGCUACAAGACCAUAACAGAAGCUCGCCAUGAGUUGCCAUGACAAAGACCAGUUUGAGCCCAGCAGGCCCACUCUCCCUCUGCGGGACCUAGCAGCCCAGCAGGCCUCACACACCAUUUAAAUUACGCAUGAAAGGCCGGGUCACAAGCCCGCAGACUAAGCCCGAUAGGCUUCACUAUCAAGCCCAUUCCUUUGGUCCAGCAGAAUCAAAUAAAAGGAAAAAUGAUUUGAUUCUACUGAGAUUUGAACCCAGACAAUGUACAUGUCAUUAUGGCUAUUGCAAAUAAAUUCACCAUAUUUCAUAUGUGUAAUUAAUUGCCAGAAGCAUUUAUUCACAUAAUUGUGUGACAAUUAAUAUGUUAUAUUACUAGCAUGCAAUUAAUAUCUCAAUUGAUUUGUGAUUUCCAUUUA